GUGCUUGCUUCAGUAGCAUGUAUCCUAACAUUUGAGCAGUACAAAAAAAGAUUAGCAUGGCUUUUGUGCAAGGAUGACAUGAAAAUUUGUGAAGAGUUACAUAUUGUU
Small nuclear RNA from Jaculus jaculus (lesser Egyptian jerboa), 108 nucleotides. The record is from Ensembl. Lineage: Eukaryota; Metazoa; Chordata; Mammalia; Rodentia; Dipodidae.